This 74-nucleotide transfer RNA is filed under the name Patescibacteria group bacterium. RNAcentral describes it as "tRNA-Gln". It matches the Rfam family "tRNA". From Rfam's summary of the family: Transfer RNA (tRNA) molecules are approximately 80 nucleotides in length. Their secondary structure includes four short double-helical elements and three loops (D, anti-codon, and T loops). The record is from RNAcentral.
UCGGGGAUCGUCUAAUGGUAGGACACUGGGUUCUGGUCCCAGCAAUCGGGGUUCGAGUCCCUGUCCCCGAGCCA